CUACGGGCGGCAGCAGUGGGGAAUAUUGGACAAUGGGGGAAACCCUGAUCCAGCAAUGCCGCGUGUGUGAAGAAGGCCUGCGGGUUGUAAAGCACUUUCGGUUGGGAGGACUGCUUCUAGCACUAAUAUUGUUGGAAGUUGACGUUACCUUCAGAAGAAGCACCGGCUAACUCCGUGCCAGCAGCCGCGGUAAUACGGAGGGUGCAGCGUUAAUCGGAAUUACUGGGCGUAAAGCGCGCGUAGGCGGCUAGAUCAGUCGGGUGUGAAAGCCCCGGGCUUAACCUGGGAACUGCAUCCGAUACUGUCUAGCUUGAGUGCAGGAGAGGAGAGUGGAAUUCCACAUGUAGCGGUGAAAUGCGUAGAUAUGUGGAGGAACACCAAUGGCGAAGGCAGCUCUCUGGCCUGAUACUGACGCUGAGGUGCGAAAGCGUGGGGAGCAAACAGGAUUAGAUACCCCAGUAGUC
Molecule: ribosomal RNA, 464 nt
Filed under: uncultured bacterium
Lineage: Bacteria
Description: partial 16S ribosomal RNA
Rfam family: Bacterial small subunit ribosomal RNA
Source: RNAcentral